Molecule: ribosomal RNA, 254 nt
Filed under: uncultured bacterium
Lineage: Bacteria
Description: partial 16S ribosomal RNA
Rfam family: Bacterial small subunit ribosomal RNA
Source: RNAcentral
UACGUAGGGGGCAAGCGUUGUCCGGAAUCAUUGGGCGUAAAGCGCGUGUAGGCGGCCCGGUAAGUCCGCUGUGAAAGUCGGGGGGCUCAACCCUCGAAUGCCGGUGGAUACUGUCGGGCUAGAGUGCGGGAGAGGCGAGUGGAAUUCCUGGUGUAGCGGUGAAAUGCGCAGAUAUCAGGAGGAACACCAAUUGCGAAGGCAGCUCGCUGGAACGUAACUGACGCUGAGACGCGAAAGCGUGGGGAGCAAACAGG